This 263-nucleotide ribosomal RNA is filed under the name uncultured bacterium. Its description in RNAcentral is "partial 16S ribosomal RNA". It matches the Rfam family "Bacterial small subunit ribosomal RNA", at positions 112 to 353 of the family's 1533-position model. The record is from RNAcentral.
AACACGUAAACAACCUGCCUUCAGGAUGGGGACAACAGACGGAAACGACUGCUAAUACCGAAUAAGUUCCAAGAGCCGCAUGGCCCAUGGAAGAAAAGGGUAGGCCUCUACCUGUAAGCUAUCGCCUGAAGAGGGGUUUGCGUCUGAUUAGCUGGUUGGAGGGGGUAACGGCCCACCAAGGCGACGAUCAGUAGCCGGUCUGAGAGGAUGAACGGCCACACUGGAACUGAGACACGGUCCAGACUCCUACGGGAGGCAGCAUG